RNAcentral lists this transfer RNA (74 nucleotides) under Phenylobacterium sp. Root1277. It matches the Rfam family "tRNA". From Rfam's summary of the family: Transfer RNA (tRNA) molecules are approximately 80 nucleotides in length. Their secondary structure includes four short double-helical elements and three loops (D, anti-codon, and T loops). Lineage: Bacteria; Pseudomonadati; Pseudomonadota; Alphaproteobacteria; Caulobacterales; Caulobacteraceae. The record is from Rfam by way of RNAcentral.
CGGGGUGUAGCGCAGUCUGGUAGCGCACCUGGUUUGGGACCAGGGGGUCGGAGGUUCGAAUCCUCUCGCCCCGA